AGACGUCUACAUUAGAUACCCGUGUAGUCCCAGCCGUAAACUAUGCGCGUUAGGUGCAUCGGUGACCACGAGUCACCGAGGUGCCGAAGGGAAACCGUGAAACGUGCCGCCUGGGAAGUACGGUCGCAAGGCUGAAACUUAAAGGAAUUGGCGGGGGAGCACCGCAACGGGAGGAGCGUGCGGUUUAAUUGGAUUCAACACCGUAAACUCACCAGGGAAGACUGUUACAUGAAGGCCGAGAUGAAGACUCUGCUAGAUUUUCAG
Molecule: ribosomal RNA, 264 nt
Filed under: uncultured archaeon
Lineage: Archaea
Description: partial 16S ribosomal RNA
Rfam family: Archaeal small subunit ribosomal RNA
Source: RNAcentral